UAGCAUAUCAAUAAGCGGAGGAAAAGAAACCAACCGGGAUUGCCCUAGUAACGGCGAGUGAAGCGGCAAGAGCUCAAAUUUGAAAGCUGGCUCCUUCGGGGUCCGCAUUGUAAUUUGCAGAGGAUGCUUCGGGAGCGGUCCCCAUCUAAGUGCCCUGGAACGGGCCGUCAUAGAGGGUGAGAAUCCCGUAUGGGAUGGGGUGCCCGCGCCCGUGUGAAGCUCCUUCGACGAGUCGAGUUGUUUGGGAAUGCAGCUCUAAUUGGGUGGUAAAUUUCAUCUAAAGCUAAAUAUUGGCCGGAGACCGAUAGCGCACAAGUAGAGUGAUCGAAAGAUGAAAAGCACUUUGAAAAGAGAGUUAAACAGCACGUGAAAUUGUUGAAAGGGAAGCGCUUGCGAUCAGACUCGCUCGCGGGGUUCAGCCGGCCUUCGGGCCGGUGUACUUCCCCGCGGGCGGGCCAGCGUCGGUUUGGGCGGCCGGUCAAAGGCCCCUGGAAUGUAACGCCUCUCGGGGCGUCUUAUAGCCAGGGGUGCCAUGCGGCCUGCCCGGACCGAGGAACGCGCUUCGGCUCGGACGCUGGCAUAAUGGUCGUAAGCGACCCGUCUUGAAACACGGACCAAGGAGUCUAACAUCUACGCGAGUGUUCGGGUGUCAAACCCGUGCGCGCAGUGAAAGCGAACGGAGGUGGGAACCCCUCGGGGUGCACCAUCGACCGAUCCUGAUGUCUUCGGAUGGAUUUGAGUAAGAGCGUAGCUGUUGGGACCCGAAAGAUGGUGAACUAUGCCUGAAUAGGGCGAAGCCAGAGGAAACUCUGGUGGAGGCUCGCAGCGGUUCUGACGUGCAAAUCGAUCGUCAAAUUUGGGUAUAGGGGCGAAAGACUAAUCGAACCAUCUAGUAGCUGGUUCUGCGU
This 908-nucleotide ribosomal RNA is filed under the name Penicillium cosmopolitanum. RNAcentral's name for it is "LSU rRNA". It matches the Rfam family "Eukaryotic large subunit ribosomal RNA", at positions 36 to 962 of the family's 3401-position model. The record is from RNAcentral. Lineage: Eukaryota; Fungi; Ascomycota; Eurotiomycetes; Eurotiales; Aspergillaceae.